UUUCCGUAGGUGAACCUGCGGAAGGAUCAUUAAAAAAUGUGGUACCAAUUAUUGGUACCAAUUAAUCAUCCUACCCUUUGUGUAUUGUUUGUAUGAAUUUUUUUAAAUGGGUCUUUCCCUAAGUUGGAUUGUUAGUAAAAUACAAAAAGACUUAGGGGAAUGACUUUUUUAAAAGACUUUUUUUAAUUAAAACUUUUUGUAUCAUUUGUCUAAAAUUUAUUUUAUAAUAUAAAAACAACUUUUGACAAUGGAUCUCUUGGUUCUCGCAACGAUGAAGAACGCAGCAAAAUGCGAUAAGUAGUGUGAAUUGCAGAAUACGUGAAUCAUCGAAUCUUCGAACGCAUAUCGCACUUUUUUAGUUUACUAAAAAGUAUGUCUGUUUGAGUAUCAGUAAAAUAUUCUCACAAACAUAUAUUGUUGUGGUAUGAGUGUUUUACAACGAUAAACAAGUUGUUUCACUUUAAAUUCUUUUUAAUGAUUUUAUACCAAUUCAUAAAUUAAAAUUGGAUAAAAUUUUCCUUUAACGAGGAAUAACUAAACAAUUUAAAUUUUAUGGAUUAUAAACAUCAUAAAGGAAUCUAUAACAUAAUAACUUGAUCUCAAUCAGAUAAGAGUACCCGCUGAACUUAAGCAUAUCAAUAAGCGGAGGAAAAGAAACUAACAAGGAUUCCCUUAGUAACGGCGAGUGAAGCGGGAAGAGCUCAAAUUUGAAAUCUUCAAGGUUUGACCUUGACGAAUUGUAGUUUAUAGAAGUGUUUCUGUUGGAGUUUUGGUAAAAGUUCUUUGGAAUAGGACAUCAUAGAGGGUGAGAAUCCCGUAUUUGACCAUGACUUUCCAGCUGUGUGAUACACUUUCAAAGAGUCGGAUUGUUUGGGAAUGCAGUCCAAAUGGGUGGUAAAUUUCAUCUAAAGCUAAAUAUUGGCGAGAGACCGAUAGCGAACAAGUACCGUGAGGGAAAGAUGAAAAGAACUUUGAAAGAGAGUUAAACAGUACGUGAAAUUGUCAAAAGGGAAGCGUUUGACACCAGUGUUGUUUCUCGAAAAUCAAUUUAAUGAGUUCUUGUUUUUAAGUUAUUGUGACUUUAUCAGCGCAUUCUUAUUUUACUUGACUCAUUGAAUGCACUUUCGUUUAACAAGUCAACAUCAAUUUCUUUGGUGGUAAAAGUUUAAAGGAAGGUGGCUUGGACUUCGGUUCAAGUGUUUAUAGCCUUUUUCUAUGCCAUCGGAGAGAUUGAGGUCUGCAGCGUAGAUCCUUCGGGGUUAGAUACCUUUGGCUAAGUUAUAGUUUUUUAUAGACAACUUGUUGACUAUAAUUAACCCUGUAAUUUACUCGCUUAGGCUAUUUACCUACGCUUAGGAUGUUGAG
This 1365-nucleotide unclassified non-coding RNA is filed under the name uncultured Neocallimastigales. Its description in RNAcentral is "partial contains small subunit ribosomal RNA, internal transcribed spacer 1, 5.8S ribosomal RNA, internal transcribed spacer 2, and large subunit ribosomal RNA". The stretch from base 595 to 1365 matches the Rfam family "Eukaryotic large subunit ribosomal RNA", at positions 1 to 630 of the family's 3401-position model. Lineage: Eukaryota; Fungi; Neocallimastigomycota; Neocallimastigomycetes; Neocallimastigales. The record is from RNAcentral.